GACUGCUUACCAAAGUGGUUACUGGGUUGCCCUGCUACUAUAGGUUCUGUCAAGGCAAUGGUCUUUGACCGCGUGUGUUCGAAUCGCACAGUAGUCG
Rhizoctonia solani is the source of this 97-nucleotide non-coding RNA. The record is from the annotation of a RefSeq genome assembly. NCBI's taxonomy places the organism in Eukaryota, Fungi, Basidiomycota, Agaricomycetes, Cantharellales, Ceratobasidiaceae.